RNAcentral lists this ribosomal RNA (203 nucleotides) under uncultured fungus. Its description in RNAcentral is "partial small subunit ribosomal RNA". The record is from RNAcentral. Lineage: Eukaryota; Fungi.
GGCCAGUCUUGUAUUUGUGCAUCUGCCGAUAUAGGAUUUGGUCAUCUGUAGGAGAACCCAGUUCGAUCUUGACUGGUCGGCUGGAGGAACCUACAAUUUACUGUGAAAAAAUUAGAGUGUUUCAGGCAGGCUUUCGCUUGGAUACUCCAGCAUGGAAUAAUGGAAUAGGACUUUGAUCUAUUCAUUGGUUUGAGAUCAAAGUA